AAAGAAAUGGUAGAAAAGAAGACAGUUUUGAUUUAUAAAUUAUUACGAGUUGAAAAUCAUUGAAAAAAUAAUUUCCUCACUAAAGAACAACUUUAUUUGGGUUAAUUAUAUCUCUUGAAUUGGAAAUGAAAGUUCUUCCAUUAAUAUUAAGUGUUCAGUUGAAAGAAAAAAAUAGGAAUGCAUUGAGAGCAAUCAGGAACUGUCAGAACUAGACAAAGUAACUGAUAACUUCUUUGGUGUGAAAGAAAAAAAAGCAACAAGUUAAAAGAAACUAGCUGGAAAUAAAGAAGAAAAAUAACUAAAUAAAAGAAAGAAUUAAAUUGAGAUGGAAUGAAUUGCUGUACCCUUAUUACUUGUAAAUAUUUUAAAUUAAAUAUAUUACACACUU
This is a long non-coding RNA of Centruroides sculpturatus (bark scorpion), 388 nucleotides long. RefSeq lists it as uncharacterized. The record is from RefSeq and is a predicted model, not a curated record. NCBI's taxonomy places the organism in Eukaryota, Metazoa, Arthropoda, Arachnida, Scorpiones, Buthidae. The transcript is spliced from 2 exons.